ACGGGUCUAUUGUGGGUCUCAGAGGGUUAAUUCAGCCUGUUCAAGGCGAGAGAGAUUCUUAUGAACACAUCAUGUUAAAUGGCUGUGAACACACACACACAGUCACAGAUGAACUCAGCUGAUUUCCUGUAAAUGGAGAGAGGAGGAGCCACGCUGACCAUGUGAUCCAGACUCAUGAGAACAGGAAGGAACCGAGAAAGAGUUCAGUUCAGUCAGCUCCAUUUUGUGUCGACGGAGCAGAAGGAUGAAGACUGUAGACUGAAGCAGGAGUUCAGUCCAGACCGAGAGCAGAGUCUCCAGUACCCAGCUGUCUGUCUAUGGAGAGUGACGGGUCCAAAGGGGAUCCUCCAGACUUCAGUAAUGAACCUAGACCCUCAGAGUCAAAAAAGAUAAAGAAGAGGAGUCAUGCUUCUGUGGAGGAGCAGAUGUCCAGAUCCAGAAGAAGACCUGGACCUCA
Sebastes umbrosus (honeycomb rockfish) is the source of this 457-nucleotide long non-coding RNA. RefSeq lists it as uncharacterized. Lineage: Eukaryota; Metazoa; Chordata; Actinopteri; Perciformes; Sebastidae. The record is from RefSeq and is a predicted model, not a curated record. The transcript has 3 exons.